CGUUCCGGUACAAUGGGCUCUCCUUUGUCUACCUCAUCUACCUCUUGCUCAUCCCUUUGUUCUCAGAACCAACAAAAGCAACGAUGCAAGGAGACAGCCGAACAUUCUGGGUUCUGGAACAACAGUGUCCUGUCAGAGAGAGGAUUCUGUUUCCACCAGAGGGAGCCACUUUGCCCAAAACAGUUUCCCAGCUGCUGGUUUUCUAGGCCUUUCGGACAAUUCCCACUAACCCCAUUGAAUUGGCCACAUUUAUAUUUUUCCCUAGAAAAAUAA
RNA transcript from Odobenus rosmarus divergens (Pacific walrus), 273 nucleotides. RefSeq lists it as uncharacterized. NCBI's taxonomy places the organism in Eukaryota, Metazoa, Chordata, Mammalia, Carnivora, Odobenidae. The record is from RefSeq and is a predicted model, not a curated record. The transcript is spliced from 2 exons.